RNAcentral lists this long non-coding RNA (140 nucleotides) under Chinchilla lanigera (long-tailed chinchilla). RNAcentral describes it as "lncRNA (ENSCLAG00000027153.1)". The record is from RNAcentral. Lineage: Eukaryota; Metazoa; Chordata; Mammalia; Rodentia; Chinchillidae.
UGAGAAGGCAAGAAAGAAACUUGUCACCUGGGACUCCAUUCCUGCUCUGGAGCCCUGCCAAGCACCCACUGGCUGAUGAGGCAUCUGAGAUACAAAGACAGGUACAAGGCACAGUGCCGAGUGCUGGAGGAAACAAAAAC